GCCGGUGUGGUGUAGUGGUUAGCAUAGGAGCUUGUGGAGCUCUUGACGCGAGUUCAAUGCAACCCUUUUCGGUGCGAGACAUGAAAAAGGUCUGCACCCCAAAAGGAUGGUGAAAAUCUCGCCACCGGCC
Molecule: transfer RNA, 130 nt
Filed under: Nanobdellota archaeon
Lineage: Archaea; Nanobdellati; Nanobdellota
Description: tRNA-His
Rfam family: tRNA
About the family: Transfer RNA (tRNA) molecules are approximately 80 nucleotides in length. Their secondary structure includes four short double-helical elements and three loops (D, anti-codon, and T loops). Further hydrogen bonds mediate the characteristic L-shaped molecular structure. tRNAs have two regions of fundamental functional importance: the anti-codon, which is responsible for specific mRNA codon recognition, and the 3' end, to which the tRNAs corresponding amino acid is attached (by aminoacyl-tRNA synthetases). tRNAs cope with the degeneracy of the genetic code in two manners: having more than one tRNA (with a specific anti-codon) for a particular amino acid; and 'wobble' base-pairing, i.e. permitting non-standard base-pairing at the 3rd anti-codon position.
Source: RNAcentral